CGAAGCACUUAGGACGGAUUACUUCGGCUUGAAGUUCUAUUUGACUGAGUGGCGGACGGGUGAGUAACGCGUGGGUAACCUGCCUCAUACAGGGGGAUAACAGUUAGAAAUGACUGCUAAUACCGCAUAAGCGCACGGAAUCGCAUGGUUUUGUGUGAAAAACUUUGGUGGUAUGAGAUGGACCCGCGUCUGAUUAGCUGGUUGGUGAGGUAACGGCCCACCAAGGCGACGAUCAGUAGCCGGCCUGAGAGGGUGAACGGCCACAUUGGGACUGAGACACGGCCCAAACUCCUACGGGAGGCAGCAGUGGGGAAUAUUGCACAAUGGGGGAAACCCUGAUGCAGCGACGCCGCGUGAAGGAAGAAGUAUUUCGGUAUGUAAAGCUCUAUCAGCAGGAAAGAAAAUGACGGUACCUGACUAAGAAGCCCCGGCUAACUACGUGCCAGCAGCCGCGGUAAUACGUAGGGGGCAAGCGUUAUCCGGAUUUACUGGGUGUAAAGGGAGCGUAGACGGUGAAGCAAGUCUGAAGUGAAAGGCGGGGGCUCAACCCCCGGACUGCUUUGGAAACUGUUUGACUGGAGUGCAGGAGAGGUAAGUGGAAUUCCUAGUGUAGCGGUGAAAUGCGUAGAUAUUAGGAGGAACACCAGUGGCGA
RNAcentral lists this ribosomal RNA (653 nucleotides) under uncultured bacterium. RNAcentral describes it as "bacterial SSU rRNA". It matches the Rfam family "Bacterial small subunit ribosomal RNA", at positions 63 to 718 of the family's 1533-position model. The record is from RNAcentral.